RNAcentral lists this ribosomal RNA (160 nucleotides) under uncultured Spirochaeta sp. RNAcentral's name for it is "partial 16S ribosomal RNA". It matches the Rfam family "Bacterial small subunit ribosomal RNA", at positions 355 to 507 of the family's 1533-position model. The record is from RNAcentral. Lineage: Bacteria; Pseudomonadati; Spirochaetota; Spirochaetia; Spirochaetales; Spirochaetaceae.
CUAAGAAUCUUCCGCAAUGGGCGCAAGCCUGACGGAGCGACGCCGCGUGGACGAAGAAGGCCGAGAGGUUGUAAAGUCCUUUUCUCACUGAAGAAUAACCUUCAUAGGGAAUGAUGGGGGGAUGACGUUAGGUGAGGAAUAAGCUCCGGCCAAUUACGUG